AUGCUCGCCGUUCCCCUCGCCGCGCCAUCUCUCUCCCCCAGCCAGUAUCCUGCCCUGUGUCUGCACAACCUCCGUUCCAUCUGGCCGGUACGCCGUACCCCUCGGCGGUUGUGCAACGACGGCCGCACAACCUGGCAGCCGACAAUCUCACAAACUCAAGGUCGUGCUCAUCUUCACCAUGACCAUGGACUGCGGUCCACCUCAUCGGACCUCUGCUCCACAUGCAACCCUGGACUGCGGUCCACCUCGUCGGAAUGCCAUCUAUGUUCGGGAAUGAAGCCAUCACUAGUGGACUACUACAGGACUCGCCCACCCCAUCCCCAUCUGGCCUAG
Molecule: ribosomal RNA, 333 nt
Filed under: Triticum aestivum (bread wheat)
Lineage: Eukaryota; Viridiplantae; Streptophyta; Magnoliopsida; Poales; Poaceae
Description: partial small subunit ribosomal RNA
Source: RNAcentral